Long non-coding RNA from Neltuma alba, 140 nucleotides. RefSeq lists it as uncharacterized. The transcript has 3 exons. The record is from RefSeq and is a predicted model, not a curated record. Lineage: Eukaryota; Viridiplantae; Streptophyta; Magnoliopsida; Fabales; Fabaceae.
AUGACUGCACCUAAGUCUAGUACUUGGGUGUAGCCAUAAAUGUUAUGCCUACCUCUAUUUAUGAGAGUUUGGGUAUUCAUGCCUUGAAAGACACCAGUGUUGUGUUAGGUCUAGCUGAUAGGACUGUGAGACACCCCAAG